Molecule: ribosomal RNA, 913 nt
Filed under: uncultured bacterium
Lineage: Bacteria
Description: bacterial SSU rRNA
Rfam family: Bacterial small subunit ribosomal RNA
Source: RNAcentral
AACGAACGUUGGCGGCGUGGAUGAGGCAUGCAAGUCGCGCGUGAAAGCUCCCUUCGGGGAGUGAGUAAAGCGGCGGACGGGUGAGUAACACGUGAUCAAGCUGCCCUCGAGAUUGGGAUAACCGCGGGAAACCGCGGCUAAUACCGGAUGGUCCGACCGGGUCACCUGACCUGGUUGGUAAAUGGUGGGGAUCCUACGGGACCUGCUGCUCGGGGAGGCGAUCGCGGCCUAUCAGCUUGUUGGUGGGGUAACGGCCUACCAAGGCAUCGACGGGUAGCAGGCCUGAGAGGGUGGUCUGCCACACUGGGACUGAGACACUGCCCAGACUCCUACGGGAGGCUGCAGUCGAGAAUCUUCCGCAAUGGGCGCAAGCCUGACGGAGCGACGCCGCGUGGAGGACGAAGGCCGUAGGGUUGUAAACUCCUGUCCCGGGUUAUGAAUGGCGUAUCGUGAAUAGCGGUGCGAUUGACGUAAGCCCGAGAGGAAGCACCGGCUAACUCUGUGCCAGCAGCCGCGGUAAUACAGAGGGUGCAAACGUUGUUCGGAAUCACUGGGCAUAAAGCGCACGUAGGCGGCGGUGCAAGUGUGAAGUGAAAGCCCACGGCUCACCCGUGGAAUUGCUUUGCAAACUGCAUUGCUAGAGGAUGGUAGGGGAGAGCGGAACUCCUGGUGGAGCGGUGAAAUGCGUAGAUAUCAGGAGGAACACCCGUGGCGAAGGCGGCUCUCUGGUCCAUUUCUGACGCUGAGGUGCGAAAGCCAGGGUAGCGAACGGGAUUAGAUACCCCGGUAGUCCUGGCCGUAAACGAUGGGCACUAGCCUGGGGACGCCCUGUGUGUUCCCAGGUGAAGCAAAUGUGAUAAGUGCCCCGCCUGGGGAGUAUGGUCGCAAGGCUGAAACUCAAAGGAAUUGACGG